AUUGUGAGUAGCAUGGUGGACUCACACACCAUUCUGCCUGGGAAGCGCGUCACCCCCCUGUCCAGUGCACCCACACCGUGUGCACUGCGGGGCCCCUGGGUCACUGAGCAGCCAUCUGAGCUAGUAGACAGACUGUCACAGUGUCACCAUGUUUGUGUUCAAGUAAUCCUUAUUUUCCUUAAUAAUGGCCCCCAAGUCACAUAACUUCUAAUAUGUAUAUUGUUAUAAUUGUUCUGUUUUAUUAUUAGUUGUUCAUCUCUUAUUGUGCCUAAUUUAUAAAUUCAACUUUACCAUACGCCUACGCAGGAAAACCACAGUAUACACAGGGAUCGGUAAUGUCUGCGGUUUCAGGCAUCCACAGGGCAUCCUGGAAUGUGUGCCCCGCAGAUAAGCAGGGAUACUGUGUUCCUCUCAUCACAGGGAGCUCAGCACUGAGGGCGGAUCUUCUGAUGUGCCGUGGGAGGGCUGAGAAAUGUCAGCAGCCAGGUGAAAAUCCAGGUUCGAGACAGCAGUGUGCUUUCAGAGCUAUACCACCGUAUCUCCACGCAGCACGAGUUAAGCAUGGCUGCAGAAGGACCAGGAGCCAAGAGCCACUCCCUCCUUCUGGGUCUCAGCAGUUUUAACAACAGUUGGAGCAUCUGUUCUGUGCUGGGCAUCCGGAUGGUCUGAGAGCAUGGGAGGGAUGAGUUGCUCUCCAAGCGCCAGAUACAGCACGGAGACCUGGAGAAAUGGGUCUGUGUCCCAGUUCCAGGAAUCACGCUAGGCAAGUCCCGCAGGUUAGCCCACUUAAUCCUUUCAGCCACCCUCCUGGGCUUCAGGUAUUAGCUCCUCUUGCAGGGGAGGAGACAGGCUCAGAGAGGAUGGAGACUUAGCCAGGGUUUCUGGCUCAGAAGCAGCAGUCAGGAUUCAAAGCCAUGUUGUUUAUUACUAGAGCUCGGGUUCAUGUCCCGGCCCUGCACCGAUAUCAUGGCAGUUCCCUGCUGGUUUUGUAGUGCUGGGGCCAGGGCAGCAGCCUGGGCGGACGGCCCAGGAUCCCAGGACGCUGGGCUGCAGUUAAGGCCUUAUCCCUGCUUUCUUCCAGAUCUGGGGCCUUCCUUACUGUUUCUGGGCCUCAGCUGUCGCAAAGACAAGGAGCUGGCACCCUGCACCUGGUGUAGAUGCUGCACCAAGCCCACCACUGGGCACCAAGGCAUGUUGGGUGCUUCCCGCGUGUGUGUGAGGGAGUAGGCUGCAAGGUAAAAACCCAGCACAGGUAGGAGUCAGUAUUGGGGUGUCUGGAGCCAGUCCUGCUCCAAAGACCAGCAGCAGGGCCUAUCCUGGGGAUCUCUAUCAGUUAGGUUACUUGGGUUGCAAGAGACAUAGUACCAAAUAGAGAAAUUGUUGGAAAUCGUUGGCUCAUACUAGCUUUGUAUAUGGCUUGAUCUAGGUAUCAAAUCAUGUCAGUCAGGCCCAGUCUUGCUGCUAUAUUUCUUGGCUUUGCCGCCUCUACUGGUGCCAUUCUCAGGAAGGCUUUCCCUUCCUGGUGUAAAACCAGCAGGAAAGUGAGUGUCACUUGCUAGUGACCCACACACAAGGCAUGGGAUUCACUCAUUGAACCAACUCUGAUCAUACACCUACAUCAGAACCCAACAUCGUGGCCCAGAGUCUUCCAUGUGCUGUGGGUAGCCCCCCCACCCCCGCCGCCGAAACACACCUGAGAGGUGAAGGGAGGGGAGUUCCUGGAAAGGAAAUCAGGGAGCUGUUGCCAAAAAAAGGGCAGACAGAUCCAACUGACACAGGUGCACGAGGGCCAAAGAGGAGACGUCCCAGCCUCUUGUCCUCUGGGCUGAUGGCAGAAACAGUUUCACACCUAGAGCUGUGGGAAUCUUGAACCAAGAGAGUAUGCAUGGCUGGGAAUCAAGGUCAGAAGUCAGCCAGGACACCAGAUAGAGAGGGGACAGAAGAGCAAUGGCAGAGUGGUCAGGGCCAGGGGUCACAGGUUAGGGUGAUAGGCACAGUUGCCUAUGACAGCUUCUGGGAAUGAAAUAUGGCAAGUCAGCCACAAUCCAGGGCCCAGGAGUGGAAAAAGAGCCUAGAACCUAGGUCACUUAUUCAGCAAUCACUAGAACCUACUCUGAACCAUGCCUGUGAAAACAGGGGUGACAGUGACAUGGUCCCUGACUUAAGGGAGCCCACAGACCCACCGUGGUGGUUUAACUUAAUCCUGGCAGAGGGAAUUUAUCUGAUGGUUUUGAAAGGCCCAGAUCUAUGCUGAGUGAUCAUGCCAUGGGUGGGCAUCUCAAAGCCCCCUUUUUGUUAUAAACUCCACCCCCAGUUUGGUCCUUGGGGUAACUCCCCACCGGCUUGCCCGGAAGGUGCCCAGCACCUCAUCACUGCCACCUUGCUGGAGAUCAGUGCAGGGUAAAUGCAAUGUUUAAGUGACACCCUCACUCCUACCAGCUUCGAGGACUAGGCAGAGAGCUCAUGUUCCUAGGAUGGUGGGAGCAGCCCUCUUCAGGCCGUGCCUCUGAUACCUGCUGAAGGUUCUGAGCCUGAGGGACCAAACACAGGUGCAGUUCUAGCCUGUUCUAGGAUGGGGAGGCAGCUGGCUUCUUGUUAAAGCCCCAGAAUUCCCUGUACCUGGCCCCCACAAUCCCCACUGCUUUCUCCACUGGUUGCAGAAUGCUUGCCUUUUAAAUCACUCCUUCGGCCCAAGGUGUAGUUUCCAGAAAGGCCCCACUAAAAUGCACAGAGGAACAGAAAUGGAGCUGUCCAGCUGGAGCCUGGCAGAGGGGUGGAGUGUGGAGUCCAGCAGAGCUGGAGGUGAGCUGGGCUUUGAGCUGGCAGCUGGGCUUGGCCCUCCUUCCCUUAGGCAGGGUGCCUCCAGGAUCUGACCUGCUCCCCUGCACUCCGCUCUGUGGGGAGCUCAGCUUCACCUGUGCUUUCUAAGCACCGCCUUCGUUCUGGCAACUUCCAGAAUCUGCUCUUCACCCAUCCUGUUUCAUGACCUCCCGUCUUUCCAGUGUCUUCUUCUGUCCUUGGUCUUCCCCAAACCUGCCCCAGUCCCACCAAGUGCAUCGAUGAGAUUCCUCCUGGGUCACGUGUCUCUCUCCUCCCCUGGUCUGUGAGGCACAGGGGACAUCAAAAAACACCAGCAAGAACUGAGAUAGGCGGGCCCUUCAGCCCUCCAGAAUGUGGGUCCCUCUCCAGGAUUCCCUCCCCUGGUCAUGGACCCACCUGAUGGUCAGGAGAACUUAGCCAGCCUUCAGGGUCUUGCCAAACCCCACCCCCCCACCCCCUUGCCCACAGCUGGGUCCUCUGGGCUGGAGGUGCCUGCCAUCCUCCACUUCUGGGCAGUUCUUCUCAUCUUGCAAGACUGCUAAGUGCCCCACUGUGGGCAAGGUCCCUUCCUCUUCUCCAGUCCCUAACACAAUGUCACUGCCCUUCCUGGGCUCCUGCUCCAGGCCAGUCGCGCGCUGAGCGUGGACAGAACCUGGACACCAAUUGGCUCCUGGUGUCUCCACAGCCAGGAACGUCCUUGCUCUUGUGUUCCACCUGACAAGCCCCUCGACCUCCCAGGGCCCGCCUCAAGUUUCUGUCCCCCCACAAGCCCUCCCUGCUCCAGACCAGCGCUGUCCCUGUGCCUGACCCACCGUCACUGACAGGGAGAGUGUCAGCCUGUCACCUCAGCACCUUCAUAGGGCCCGGCACAGUUGAGUUGGCCAUUGAGAAUCUGGGGACAACUGAGUGAUGAGGGGGUGAACGCACAAAAGGGUGAAUUGUGGGACGGGGUGAGGGCAGCUCUGCACACUUCUUGUGCCGGGAGCAGCCAUGAGGUCACAGAGCAGGAGAGACCCACAGAGGACAGCUGUGCUCUGCAGGGCUGCGCUCGUUUUAGAACCUGUGUCUGCGGCGCUGUGCGUGAGUGACAGGCCUCCUGUGUCCCUGAGCCCAUCUGCAUUCAGCAGUGUGACUCGGGGUCUCUUUGCCGGAGGACUGACCGGGCCCUAAAAACAGCCUUCCUUUUAAGGUCUGUGCUGCAGCGGCUCGGAACCCAGCUCCCUGCCAGGGAGCUAGUGAGCCCCGCAGGACAGGAGCAGGAAAUCUGAUUCAACGAGACCAGAAGAGGCAUUUUCCCAGAUUAGAAUUCUCUGUGCCAAAGGUGGCGAGUUUAUCACAGUAGAGAAGGGGAAAUAAAGCAAAGUAUUGAACAUAAAUGAUAUCCCGCAGGCAAGGUCCUCUGGGAGAGUCAGGUUGGUGUCGGUGGCUAUGCAGGAAGUCCUGAGCCGUGGCCACAGAACUGCUGCGCCAGGAGCUGUCUGUCACAGUGUGCCCCGCCAAUCCCUGAGCCCUUCUGUGCGUUAGGUAAAUUGCUAACCUGGCCAUGCCCAGGAGAAGGGAUGGCAAGGACCGAGAGAUGACAGGAUAAGGACAGGUGAGAUGGAUUGGGUUGGUUUCCUAUAUGUGGACCUACUGUGUGUUAGCCAGGCCCCUCCAUAAGUAUUAUCUCACUUAAUCUUCUCCACAACCCUGUACAAUCAAUGCAGUUAGUAUAUUCCAGAAAGCUAAUGCUCAGAGAGGUUAAGCAACAUGCUCAGGGUCACACAGUAAGUGGCAGAGCAAGAAUUUCAAACCAUGUCUGUCUGAUGCCAGAGCCUGGGCUCUCCCCUCACUCCACCUCUCUCAUCAAGCCCUGUUCAUCAGCUCUACCUGGUUCCUGAGGCAUCUGGUUGGGGCUGCCAGUGUGCGGGGGCCUGCUUCGAAUCCAGCAGUGUGGCUUAGGAAGGCUGUGGAGGCCAAGGUCACUUUGUUUUGCUUCUGCCUCACCUCUGGCUAAGGCUCGUGGUUUCUGCCUGGAUUUGGGACUUUGCUCUCUCCCCAGAAUAAACCUAGCAGAGCCUGGAAUUUCUUAAUACAGGACGGGGACCGGGGGCGACAGCAACAUCCAUGCUGCCCUUCUGAAUGCCUGCUGGGUGCUGGGCAGUAGGGUUUGCAUUCUCUCACAUUAUCUUCCCCAGACUGAUGCAGCUGGGACUCUGACUGCCCCGCUUCUCUGUAGAGUGCAGGGCCUUCCCCUAAACCCUCCUUCCCGCUGGUAAGAUGGAUUCAGAUUCAAAGCCCUAGCUGCUUCUACCUGACCCCCAGCUCCCCUUCCCUGGGAGAGCUGGGCGGUGACAGCAGCCCCUGGCAGCGAGGGCUGCCUGCCAGCCUCCUGAGGCUUGAUCUGAGAUUGCGCCGAGCGUGGCCCUAACCCAGGUCAUUGUUUUCCCCGGGUAGUUUCACUGUCAGCCUGCUUAGUGCCAUGUCUUCUGGAACACUGUAUCCCAUUCUGUUUAUACUGUAAAGAAUUUUUCAAUGUAAUCAAAGUCCGAAAAGAGAAUAUAUGUAAAAGAGACCCUAAGGGAUUGUUGAUUAUAUCCCACUUAAAAUGCAGAGUGUGAUGGGGAUUCACAUUGCCUGCGAGCACUUUAAACCAAGUUUCUAUGAUGCUGCUGCCCAUCAGCCACAUGACUCCUUGGUGACAG
Phyllostomus discolor (pale spear-nosed bat) is the source of this 5504-nucleotide long non-coding RNA. RefSeq lists it as uncharacterized. Lineage: Eukaryota; Metazoa; Chordata; Mammalia; Chiroptera; Phyllostomidae. The transcript is spliced from 2 exons. The record is from RefSeq and is a predicted model, not a curated record.